AUGCUCGUUUCAGCAGCAUACAUACUACAACUGGAAUGAUGCACAGAAGACUGGAAAGGCCCCUGUGCCUGGAUGACUUGCAAAUUUGUGAAGCACUUCACAUUUUA
RNAcentral lists this small nuclear RNA (107 nucleotides) under Procavia capensis (Cape rock hyrax). Lineage: Eukaryota; Metazoa; Chordata; Mammalia; Hyracoidea; Procaviidae. The record is from RNAcentral.